Molecule: small nucleolar RNA, 144 nt
Filed under: Mus musculus (house mouse)
Lineage: Eukaryota; Metazoa; Chordata; Mammalia; Rodentia; Muridae
Description: Small nucleolar RNA SNORA48
Rfam family: Small nucleolar RNA SNORA48
About the family: The snoRNA ACA 48 has been identified to guide pseudouridylation of the residue U3797 in the 28S rRNA subunit. Its host gene EIF4A1 (eukaryotic translation initiation factor 4A1) is shared with U67 and snoRNA mgU6-77
Source: Rfam by way of RNAcentral
UGCCCCCUGGCAAUGAGCAAAGAGACAACUUGGUGGUGGUGUUGCUCUUACAUCAAUCAGGAGCAGAGAAAAUGGCAGGCCUAUAUUCAUCUUAGCUUGAUACCUGGCUGGUGGACAAAGCUGUUUUAUGCCUAGGACUCGAAA